AUGACCAAAUACUCAUUCUUCACUUUUCUUCUCAAAAAUAAAUAAACGAAUCUCUUCAUUAUUUCUCAAAAAAAAUUUGAAGGAUAUGGAAGAAAUUCUCUUUACAUAGAUCUAUUCUACCAUGGAAAUUGAUCUUGUUAUGCUACUUAUUCUUCUUCUAUUACUUUUUUUAAUAAUUAUCAAAAGAAAAUCUCUUCGUUCUUUAGCAGAAGAGAGAAGAAAUUGCAGAUUCGUAGCGGAAUCGCUAUGGUUGUUAUUCUAAUUUUUGUAGGGACCAAAACCUCGAUCUACAACCGGUUAUGCUAUCUUUCUAAUAGAAGAUAAACCUCGGAGGAUUCUUCGAACUUUGGAGCACACGAAGAGCUCACUUACAAGAGCAUCUAAGCUGCAAAGUUGUUGUACCAGAACUGUAGAAGUUAAAUUAUCAUUGCUCUUGAAUGUUAUGUUAUGUUAUGUAUAAACUUUAUUUUAAUUUUUCAUUUA
This is a long non-coding RNA of Capsicum annuum, 483 nucleotides long. RefSeq lists it as uncharacterized. NCBI's taxonomy places the organism in Eukaryota, Viridiplantae, Streptophyta, Magnoliopsida, Solanales, Solanaceae. The record is from RefSeq and is a predicted model, not a curated record. The transcript is spliced from 2 exons.